RNAcentral lists this ribosomal RNA (497 nucleotides) under uncultured bacterium. RNAcentral's name for it is "partial 16S ribosomal RNA". It matches the Rfam family "Bacterial small subunit ribosomal RNA", at positions 28 to 507 of the family's 1533-position model. The record is from RNAcentral.
GAUGAACGCUGGCGGCGUGCCUAAUACAUGCAAGUCGAGCGAACGGACGAGAAGCUUGCUUCUCUGAUGUUAGCGGCGGACGGGUGAGUAACACGUGGAUAACCUACCUAUAAGACUGGGAUAACUUCGGGAAACCGGAGCUAAUACCGGAUAAUAUUUUGAACCGCAUGGUUCAAAAGUGAAAGACGGUCUUGCUGUCACUUCUCGCUGGAUCCGCGCUGCAUUAGCUAGUUGGUAAGGUAACGGCUUACCACGGCAACGAUGCAUAGCCGACCUGAGAGGGUGAUCGGCCACACGGGAACUGAGACACGGUCCAGACUCCUACGGGAGGCAGCAGUAGGGAAUCUUCCGCAAUGGGCGAAAGCCUGACGGAGCAGCGCCGCGUGAGUGAUGAAGGUCUUCGGAUCGUAAAACUCUGUUAUUAGGGAAGAACAGAUGUGUAAGUAACUGUGCACAUCUUGACGGUACCUAAUCAGAAAGCCACGGCUAACUACGUG